CCUGGCUUAGAACGAACGCUGGCGGCGUGCUUAACACAUGCAAGUCGAACGCGAAAGGGACUUCGGUCCUGAGUAAAGUGGCGCACGGGUGAGUAACGCGUAGAUAACCUGUCUUCAUGUCUGGAAUAAUACGCCGAAAGGGGUACUAAUACCGGAUAUUCUUGCUUUUCAUAAGUUAUGCAAGCAAAGGUGGCCUCUGCAUAUGCUACUGCAUGAAGAGGGGUCUGCGUACCAUUAGCUAGUAGGUGGGGUAAUGGCCUACCUAGGCGACGAUGGUUAGCGGGUCUGAGAGGAUGAUCCGCCACACUGGCACUGGAACACGGGCCAGACUCCUACGGGAGGCGGCAGUGAGGAAUAUUGCGCAAUGGGGGAAACCCUGACGCAGCGACGCCGCGUGAGUGAAGGAAGGCCUUCGGGUCGUAAAGCUCUGUCAAGAGGAAAGAAGUGUACAAUGGCUAAUACCUGUUGUAUUUGACGGUACCUCUAAAGGAAGCACCGGCUAACUCCGUGCCAGCCGCAGC
This 521-nucleotide ribosomal RNA is filed under the name uncultured bacterium. RNAcentral describes it as "bacterial SSU rRNA". It matches the Rfam family "Bacterial small subunit ribosomal RNA", at positions 18 to 518 of the family's 1533-position model. The record is from RNAcentral.